Molecule: small RNA, 265 nt
Filed under: Jaculus jaculus (lesser Egyptian jerboa)
Lineage: Eukaryota; Metazoa; Chordata; Mammalia; Rodentia; Dipodidae
Description: 7SK RNA (ENSJJAG00000003032.1)
Rfam family: 7SK RNA
About the family: 7SK was discovered as an abundant small nuclear RNA in the mid-70s but a possible function has only recently been suggested. Two independent studies have found that 7SK RNA binds the CDK9/cyclin T complex (known as elongation factor P-TEFb).
Source: Rfam by way of RNAcentral
GGAUGUGCGGGUGAUCUGGCUGUGACAUCUGUCACCCCACUGACCGCCAGGGUUGAUUCGGCUGACCUGGCUGGCUUGGUGGAUGGCCCCUUCCUCCCUCCCUCCCUGCUCCAUGUUUGACCUUCCCGAAGCUGCACACUCAGAGAGGACAGGUCUUUGGUCAAGGGUAUACGAGUAGCUUCAUUCCCCUGCUAGAACCUCUAUCUAAAGUGCUUAAGAAACUGCAUCUUAAUAUGAUGGAGAAUGGAAUUUCAAAGGGGAAAGU